Molecule: ribosomal RNA, 484 nt
Filed under: uncultured bacterium
Lineage: Bacteria
Description: partial 16S ribosomal RNA
Rfam family: Bacterial small subunit ribosomal RNA
Source: RNAcentral
AUUGAACGCUGGCGGCAUGCCUUACACAUGCAAGUCGAACGGCAGCGCGGGAGCAAUCUUGGCGGCGAGUGGCGAACGGGUGAGUAAUACAUCGGAACGUGCCCAAUCGCGUGGGAUAACGGAACGACAGCUGUGCUAAUACCGCAUACGAUCUACGGAUGAAAGCAGGGGAUCGCAAGACCUUGCGCGAAUGGGGGGGUGGAUGGGGGGUUAGGAAGUUGGCGAGGUAAAGGCGCACCAAGCCGUCGAUCCGUAGCUGGCCUGCGGGGCGGACCGGCCACAAGAGAAGUGAGACGACGCCCAGCCACCUACGGGAGGCAGCAGUGGGGAAUAUUGGAGAAUAGGCGGAAGCCUGAUCCAGCCAUGCCGCGUGGGGGAAGAAGGUCUUCUGGUUGUAAAGCACUUUUGUUGGCAAAGAAAAGCACCAGCCUAAUACCCCGCUGGUCUGACGGUACCCAAAGAAUAAGCACCGGCUAACUACGUG